UACAGAGGGUGCGAGCGUUGUCCGGAAUCACUGGGCGUAAAGGGCGCGUAGGCGGUUUGCUAAGCGUGCGGUGAAAGCUCGGGGCUCAACCCCGAGUCGGCCGUGCGAACUGGUGGACUGGAGCAUGUCAGAGGCAGGCGGAAUUCCGGGUGUAGCGGUGGAAUGCGUAGAGAUCCGGAAGAACACCGGUGGCGAAGGCGGCCUGCUGGGACAUUGCUGACGCUGAGGCGCGACAGCGUGGGGAGCAAACAGG
Molecule: ribosomal RNA, 253 nt
Filed under: uncultured Gemmatimonas sp.
Lineage: Bacteria; Pseudomonadati; Gemmatimonadota; Gemmatimonadia; Gemmatimonadales; Gemmatimonadaceae
Description: partial 16S ribosomal RNA
Rfam family: Bacterial small subunit ribosomal RNA
Source: RNAcentral